Molecule: long non-coding RNA, 4754 nt
Filed under: Homo sapiens (human)
Lineage: Eukaryota; Metazoa; Chordata; Mammalia; Primates; Hominidae
Description: HSALNT0160487
Source: RNAcentral
CUGGAUUCUCAUAGGAGCACAAACCCUACUGUGAACUGCCCAUGCGAGGGGUCUAGGUUGUGAGCUCCUUAUGAGAAUGUAACACCUGAUGAUCUGUCACUGUCUCCCAUCACCCCAGAUGGGACUGUCUAGUUGCUGGAAACCAAGCUCCACACUCCCACUGAUUCUACAAUACGAGUUUGGCCAGUGCACGGCAGCUCACACCUGUAAUCCUGGCACUUUAGGAGGCUGAACUGAGAGGAUCACUUGUGUCAAGGUGUUCCAGACCAGCCUGGGCAACAUAUCAAGACCUCGUCUCUGCAAAACGUUUUAAACUUAGCUGGGCAUGGUGGCACACACUUGUAGUCUUAUCUACUCUAGAGGCUAAGGCUGGAGGAACAGUUGAGCCCAGGAGGUUGAGGCUGCAAUGAGCUAUGAUACCCCAAUAUGAUUGCCCCACUGGGUGACAGAAUGAAAGUCUGUCUAAAAAAUUUUUUAGAAAUAAGAAUAAUACAGGUUUAUAGAUCAAAAUGUGGCUCCUGAAAUAUUAGUUUUGAGCUUCAAUUCAAUAAGAAAGCCAUCGUAUUAGUCCAUUCUCGCACUGCUAUAAAGAAGUACCUGAGACUGUGUAAUUUAUAAAGGAAAGAGGUUUGAUUGACUCACAGUUCCAAAAGGCUGGGGAGGCCUCAGGAAACUUACAAUCAUGGUGGAAGGUGAAGGGAAAGCAAGGACCUUCUUCACAUGGCAGCAGGAGAGAGAAGUCCAAGCUGAGGAGAUGCCAUAUGCUUAUAAAACCAUCAGAUCUCGUGAAGAGUCACUCCUGUCAUAAGAACAGCAUGGGGAAAACCACCCCCAUGAUCCAAUCACCUCCUACCAGACCCCGCCCUCCACACAUGGGGAUUAUGGGAAUUACAAUUCUAGAUGAGAUUUGGGUGGGGACACGGGGCCAAACUAUAUCAGCCAUACAGGAAGGGAGCGUGAGAAGCUGAAGGUUAUGGUUCUUAUGCUUUCUAAGUGUCUUCCAGGCCCUGAGCCCACUGUCUCACCUCCACAGUGCAGAUAUGCCUUAAACACAAUUAAAACUGAAACCAACAUUAAACAGAACUAAAUGUAAGAAAUUAACAGAAAUUAAUUACCACAUAUCAGAGAGACAAUCGCCUGUUUAAAGCUUUAAUAUGAAAGAUACUUCUUUGAACAUAAAAACCCCAACUCUCACAUAUUUUCAAGGUAGUUUUGUACAUUAGAAAAUAAUUCUCUGUAUUCCGUGAUGAACGAUUCAUCGUGGAAUGCCUUUUAAAAAACAAAGACAUUGAAAAUGUGGUUGCAGGCUGGGCACAGUGGCUCACGCCCAUAAUCCCAGCACUUUGGGAGACUGAGGCAGGCAGAUCACUUGAGCCCAGGAGUUCGAGAUCAGCCCGGGCAACAUGGCAAAACCCUGUCUCUACAAAGAAAAUUUUAAAAAAAUUAGCUGGUCAUGUUGGUACAUACCUGUAGUCCUAGCUACUUGGUGAGGCUGAGGCCAGAGGAUUGCUUGAGUCUGGGAGGGAGGCAGAGGUUGCAGUGAACUAUGAUCAUGCCACUACACUCCUCACCCUGGUCAACAGAGUGAGACCCUGUCUCCAAAAACAAAAAAGAAAAACUGUGAUUGCAGACACAAACACUUAAACAUAACUCUGCAAACUUUUCUGUUACCUUUGAAAACCUAUUUCCGUACAGGGAGGAAAAAAACCCUUAGCCUUGUUUUGAUAGGGAAAUUUGAUUACUCAUUUGAAUAGACUGAGUAUGAUAGUUAUUUGACUUUUGAAAAUGUUUCAGGUCUCCUUCCUCUCUGCUAUCUUAGGAUCUGAGCUUCCUGAAAUUUUGAACCAAGGGCCAUGAAAUACAUUUUCUUAGCCUUUGCUAUAACAUUCAGCAUUAAACAGAAGACAAGAAGUGUGGCCGGACAUGGUGACUCAUGCCUGUAAUCCCAGCACUUUGGGAAGCCAAGGAAGGCAGAUCACUAUAGGCCAGGAGUUCCAGACCAGUCUGGGCAACAUGAGGAAAUACUGUCUCUACCAAAAGUGCAAAACAUUAGCCAGGUGUGGUGGUGCGCGCCUGUGGUCCCAGCUACUCAGGAGGCUGAGGUGGGAUGAUUGCUUGAGCCUGGGAGGUGGAGGCUACAGUGAGCCAAGAUUGAUCGCCACUGCACUCCAGCCUGGGUGACAAAGUGAGACUCCAUCUCAAGAAAAAGAAAAAAAAGAAGAAGAAGAAGGCAUGAGGGCUGACUGAAUAAGAGUUAUUGAUUUAGUGCUUCAAGAUCUCACAAGAUUCAGUCAUGAAAAUGAGAUCUGGCCUCGGGGGAGAAAACCGCUUCCUGCCCAGCACAGAGCCCAAGCAGGGACAGUGGCCGGAUCUGUUCAGUGCUCAUUAACGAGGUAACUUUGCCAUUUAUCAAAGCGCAGGACCAGUCUGGUGAGCCAAAACCAGAAUAUGAAAAUAGAUCUUUCUUCUGAAGUUCAGAUGUGAAAUAUUUUCCGUGUUUCCAAGAAUUUUUUUUUAAAGCCUCAACUUUUGUCCAUACCAUAAUUUUCUGGGAGUUUUCCUAAUUAAAAAUGCUGAUGGGUAUGGACUGUGUCCUUUCAUAGAGAAGGCAUUUAAGGGCAUCUACAACUCACAAGUUCAAUAAGAUCACCCAGCAUUAACAUGCCUUUGAUGAGGCAUUCGUUUAUUAUCUCUAGUUAUUUCUCAAUAAUCACACAACUGGCCUAAUGACACAAUGGGCUUUAUAAUAAUGAAUUUUCAAAAGAAAGCAAACAUUUCCUUUGAGGCUAUAUUCUCCAAUGAAUUUGGCAUGCCCUGGUUUGAAGACUUUCAUCUCCAAAUAGGCUGGGGUUUCUCUUUUAUCUAGCGGCCUGCCUUGCUGAAACCUUCUCCGACACACAAAGGAAAGUCUAAAAAAUGUCCAGUUCUAUCCAAGACUUCAAAAGUGCUCAGGGAGCCAGAUAAAAUCUGUCCCAGGAUUUUUUCUCUCCCCGAUAAACGUUUAGGAAAACCUUACUUCUGAGUCCAGGGCUACUUGGCUAGGACUGAAGAUGCUAAUGAAAAAGUGUUUCACUUAGGAACCUUGAGUGAGUCAAAAUUAGAGAAGGCUUGUUACCCAAAGGCCUGUGGUUUUAUUAUACAAGGCCCAUAUACUUCACCAAGGCUGGUAAAGUCAUUCAAACAACGACGUGUCAAAAGACAGAAUAUAGGCAAAAGUUCUGACCCAUCUGGUUGGUUGUGGCAUCUCCUAACUCAAACACCUUUGAAAAAACCCUCGUAAAAGGUGAAUAUAAGGCCUGUUAGGCCUCAGAACACAGUGGUUGUAGGACAGAAACCUUCGAUCACAGGACACUAGAAACACUCUCCAGAUCAAAGUCAUUCUAGUAAUUGUCAUUGUGCAUUAUGGAAAACCGAGUCCUGGGUUUGUGCCUUCCUUCCCCAGAACAUGAUUAUUACUGAAACAGAUGCAUGUUGGAUUUCCAGAUUGUGAAGCUAAGCUGUAAGGGUCUGCCUUGUCAUGACCUUACUGGCUGUGCAUGGUCUAAACUCAACUACCUCCCAGUCUCCAGACUGAACAUCUUAAUGUAUUAACUUAGAAUAUACUUCUUGUAAGCUUUCUUCCAACCCGGGUUCUACUCAUUUUGUUGGUCAAACAAACAAACAAAAAAUUCAAUCUAAAAUCCACAGUUACACAAGGAUAUGAAUGUAAGAAAGGCUGAACGUGAAUGAUUCCAGGAUAGAAGAAGUUAAUAAACCAAUUAACAAAAUCUGUGAGCAUUGCUAACCUUCAAAAGAGGAGGAUAAGGUUACAUUUUGUUUAAAGACAAAAAAAAAAUCCUAAUUAGUAUCAUGCUCUAAAAUAUACCUUUUAUUGAAAGCUAAGUUUUUAUUUUUAAUUAGUUCAAUAAAUGGCAAUGGGCAGCCUUCUCCUACUUAGCGAACUCACCAGGCUGUAGAAUUGUUGUAGGAAAUUAGCUCCAUUUCAGUCUUUGAUCCUUGAAGACCAAAGUGUGCAAUUUUGCUGGAGUAGUGUCGGUCGUUUGUAAGACCUUAGUGAAAGAAAAGUCUUAGUGUCCCUUAAAACUCCUUUAAAUAUGUAAAAAUGCACAAUGUCAGGGACCAGGACCCCGUCUACAUUAAACAAAGAACAAAGUCGAUCACUUCCCAUAAAGGGAAGGAUUUACAUUAAACUUUCCCCAGCAGAAAAAGAAAACAGAAAUUAAAAAGAUCAGACUGUGUUUUCUAGGGAAAUCUCUGCAUCUCCUUUUGUGCCUAAUAAUCUUCAUUUACUGGGACACCUAAGCUUCUUUGUGACUUUUCAUCUAAAUAUAUAUCCAAAGUUGUCUUCACUGCCUCAUUAAAGUAAAAUAAUAUCACAAGGUAACAAGUGUUUACGUUAAAAAAAGUUUGUUUGUUUUUUAAUCCCAGGCAAUGACUUUUUUUCAAGCUAUGCAAUAAUAAGACACUCCCUGAAAGUUUGUUUUAUUUGCCUCUGGGCUUGUCGUUUUCAUUUUCCUGCCCUUUGCUUACUUUUCUGUUGCUACUAAAAGGUAAACUUAUUCAGGCAUCUGUGUGUGUGUGUGUGUGUGCACGCACGCGUGUGUUUAUAUUAUUUAUUGAUAUACAUCUUAAAUAACGAACUUUGCAAAAUAAAAUCACAUUAUGAUGAGUUUUUUUAAUCCUAUUCUUAAUUCUCUAAUGGAGUUUCCUUGCUUUGCUUAAAAUAAGUGGACCACUGUUUGCCUUUGAAUUUC